This 456-nucleotide ribosomal RNA is filed under the name uncultured archaeon. RNAcentral's name for it is "bacterial SSU rRNA". It matches the Rfam family "Archaeal small subunit ribosomal RNA", at positions 373 to 830 of the family's 1478-position model. The record is from RNAcentral.
AGGUUAAUCCGAGUGUUUCCUGCUAAAGGAAUCUUUUGUUAGUCUUAAAAUCACUAUUGAAUAAGGGGUGGGCAAGUUCUGGUGUCAGCCGCCGCGGUAAAACCAGCACCUCAAGUGGUCAGGAGGAUUAUUGGGCCUAAAGCAUCCGUAGCCUGUUCUGUAAGUUUCCGGUUAAAUCCAUUAGCUCAACUAAUGGGCCGCCGAAAAUACUGCAGAACUAGGGAGUGGGAGAGGUAGACGGUACUCGGUAGGAAGGGGUAAAAUCCUUUGAUCUAUUGAUGACCACCUGUGGCGAAGGCGGUCUACCAGAACACGUUCGACGGUGAGGGAUGAAAGCUGGGGGAGCAAACCGGAUUAGAUACCCGGGUAGUCCCAGCUGUAAACGAUGCAGACUCGGUGAUGCGCUGGCUUGUGGCCAGUGCAGUGCCGCAGGGAAGCCGUUAAGUUUGCCGCCUG